Molecule: ribosomal RNA, 662 nt
Filed under: Hyphomucor assamensis
Lineage: Eukaryota; Fungi; Mucoromycota; Mucoromycetes; Mucorales; Mucoraceae
Description: eukaryotic LSU rRNA
Rfam family: Eukaryotic large subunit ribosomal RNA
Source: RNAcentral
UAACAAUGAUUUCCCUAGUAUCGCCGAGUGAAGAGGAAAGAGCUCAAAGUUGGAACCUGUUUGGCUUAGCUAAACCGGAUUGUAAACUGUAGAAGUGUUUUCCUGACACGCCAGAUAAAUAAGUCCUUUGGAACAGGGCAUCAUAGAGGGUGAGAAUCCCGUCUUUGGUCUGAGCUGUUGUCUUCUGUGAUACACUUUCAAAGAGUCAGGUUGUUUGGGAAUGCAGCCUAAAUUGGGUGGUAAAUCUCACCUAAAGCUAAAUAUUUGCGAGAGACCGAUAGCGAACAAGUCCCGUGAGGGAAAGAUGAGAGAACUUUGAAAAGAGAGUUAAACAGUAUGUGAAAUUGUUAAAAGGGAACCGGUUGGAGCCAGACUGGCUUGGCUGUAAUCAAUCUAGAUCCUUCUGGAUGCACUUGCAGUUAUGCCUGGCAACGACAAUUUUUUCUAAAGGAAAAAACCAAGAGGAAUGUGACCCUUCGGGGUGUUAUAGCCUUUUGGAAAAUACUUUGGAUUGGAUUGAGGAACGCAGCGAAUGCCUUUAGGCGAGAUUGCUGGGCGCUUUUACUAAUAGAUGCUAGAACUUCUGCCUCGGGUGGUGCUAGUGUUUAAAGGUGAAACUCGUUUAGUAUAUUUUUCACUCGCUUAGGUUGUUGGCUUAAUGA